UCUGUGGACCCCCGGAAAAACAUCUCUGCCGCGAGGAAAUCGUGCGGUGAGGCGCAGCUAAGUUGGAGAUGACGACAUGUGGUGUGAAAAAAUCGAAUGGUCAUGUCCCGAAGGACCAGCGAUCCCCAUCUUCGGAUUCCACCAAUGACCAGCUUCGUGUGACCUCAACGGAGCAGCGACCAAAGCUUCCUUCGGUUCAUUUCCAUUUUAGGUUGUGUGAUUUCUUCCACAGAGAGACCAAUGACCUUUUUGUGGAAAACCACGACCAGCGACGACGGACUAGCGACCAAAACUUCCUAUUGCCAGUGCGACCUGGAAUUUUUUAUCAGACUUUCGUUAUCGGAUUGUUUCAAGUAUGAGUCGAAGAAAUGGGAAUCCGACAAAAUCCACAGUGGAUUUUUGAAGAGGAGGAGAAGCUUUCAGUUUGUGAAGAACUACAGAAAUCGAUUGUGAAGAAAAAUGCGGGUAAUCAAAGGGAGAUUUGGGCGAAAUGGGUCGAAGGAACUGGGGUUUCACCAUGGCCGUUCGAUUUUUUCUCACCACGUGUCGUCAUCUCCAACUUCGCCAGCCUCACCGCGCCAUUUCCUCGCGGCAGAAGAUGUUUUUCCGGACCGCUAUGCCGCUUGUGUAAGAAGGAAAAUGAGAGUAACUGACAUCUUUUCUUCCCUGGGACUUUGUCAGUGGUUCACUGCGACUUCAUUUUAUAGUUUGGUUGAACCCCUCAUUUUCAAUCCUUCUGUGGAAAACAGAUAAGCAAACCCUUGUCUUGAUUCUUGCCAUCUCAUUUCAUUCCAUUUGGAUUUCUAAAGGAAUGCAGUCUUAUUUAGUUAGGUGCAA
Molecule: long non-coding RNA, 837 nt
Organism: Macadamia integrifolia
Lineage: Eukaryota; Viridiplantae; Streptophyta; Magnoliopsida; Proteales; Proteaceae
Exons: 3
Source: RefSeq, a predicted model, not a curated record